UCCCUGGUAGUCUAAUGGCUAAGACUCUGAGCUCCCAAUGCAUGGGGCCCAGGUUCGAUCCCUGGUCAGGGAA
RNAcentral lists this transfer RNA (73 nucleotides) under Bos taurus (domestic cattle). It matches the Rfam family "tRNA". From Rfam's summary of the family: Transfer RNA (tRNA) molecules are approximately 80 nucleotides in length. Their secondary structure includes four short double-helical elements and three loops (D, anti-codon, and T loops). Further hydrogen bonds mediate the characteristic L-shaped molecular structure. tRNAs have two regions of fundamental functional importance: the anti-codon, which is responsible for specific mRNA codon recognition, and the 3' end, to which the tRNAs corresponding amino acid is attached (by aminoacyl-tRNA synthetases). tRNAs cope with the degeneracy of the genetic code in two manners: having more than one tRNA (with a specific anti-codon) for a particular amino acid; and 'wobble' base-pairing, i.e. permitting non-standard base-pairing at the 3rd anti-codon position. RNAcentral also lists the same sequence under 5 other names. Lineage: Eukaryota; Metazoa; Chordata; Mammalia; Artiodactyla; Bovidae. The record is from Rfam by way of RNAcentral.